Suncus etruscus (white-toothed pygmy shrew) is the source of this 106-nucleotide small nuclear RNA. The record is from RefSeq and is a predicted model, not a curated record. Lineage: Eukaryota; Metazoa; Chordata; Mammalia; Eulipotyphla; Soricidae.
GUGCUCACUUCGGCAGCACAUAUACUAAAAUUGAAACAAUACAGAGAAGAUUAGCAUGGGCUUGCGCAAGGAUGACACACAAAUUUGGGAAGCAUUCCCAUAUUUU